RNAcentral lists this ribosomal RNA (1502 nucleotides) under metagenome. RNAcentral describes it as "bacterial SSU rRNA". It matches the Rfam family "Bacterial small subunit ribosomal RNA". The record is from RNAcentral.
AGAGUUUGAUCAUGGCUCAGGAUGAACGCUAGCUACAGGCUUAACACAUGCAAGUCGAGGGGAAACGACAUCGAAAGCUUGCUUUUGAUGGGCGUCGACCGGCGCACGGGUGAGUAACGCGUAUCCAACCUGCCCACCACUUGGGGAUAACCUUGCGAAAGUAAGACUAAUACCCAAUGAUAUCUCUAGAAGACAUCUGAAAGAGAUUAAAGAUUUAUCGGUGAUGGAUGGGGAUGCGUCUGAUUAGCUUGUUGGCGGGGUAACGGCCCACCAAGGCAACGAUCAGUAGGGGUUCUGAGAGGAAGGUCCCCCACAUUGGAACUGAGACACGGUCCAAACUCCUACGGGAGGCAGCAGUGAGGAAUAUUGGUCAAUGGGCGAGAGCCUGAACCAGCCAAGUAGCGUGCAGGAAGACGGCCCUAUGGGUUGUAAACUGCUUUUAUAAGGGAAUAAAGUGAGUCUCGUGAGACUUUUUGCAUGUACCUUAUGAAUAAGGACCGGCUAAUUCCGUGCCAGCAGCCGCGGUAAUACGGAAGGUCCGGGCGUUAUCCGGAUUUAUUGGGUUUAAAGGGAGCGUAGGCCGGAGAUUAAGCGUGUUGUGAAAUGUAGACGCUCAACGUCUGCACUGCAGCGCGAACUGGUUUCCUUGAGUACGCACAAAGUGGGCGGAAUUCGUGGUGUAGCGGUGAAAUGCUUAGAUAUCACGAAGAACUCCGAUUGCGAAGGCAGCUCACUGGGGCGCAACUGACGCUGAAGCUCGAAAGUGCGGGUAUCGAACAGGAUUAGAUACCCUGGUAGUCCACGCCGUAAACGAUGACUACUAGGUGUCGGGCAGCAAAGCUGUUCGGUGCCGCAGCAAACGCAAUAAGUAGUCCACCUGGGGAGUACGUUCGCAAGAAUGAAACUCAAAGGAAUUGACGGGGACCCGCACAAGCGGUGGAGCAUGUGGUUUAAUUCGAAGCAACGCGAAGAACCUUACCUGCUCUUGACAUCUCCCUGACCGGCAAGUAAUGUUGCCUUUCCUUCGGGACAGGGAUGACAGGUGGUGCAUGGUUGUCGUCAGCUCGUGUCGUGAGAUGUUGGGUUAAGUCCCGCAACGAGCGCAACCCCUAUCUUUAGUAGCCAGCGGUUUGGCCGGGCACUCUAGAGAGACUGCCAGGGAUAACCUGGAGGAAGGUGGGGAUGACGUCAAAUCAUCAUGCCCCUUAUGAGCAGGGCUACACACGUGCUACAAUGGCGUAAACAAAGGGAGGCAGAACCGCGAGGUCGAGCAAAUCCCAAAAAUAACGUCUCAGUUCGGAUUGUAGUCUGCAACUCGACUACAUGAAGCUGGAAUCGCUAGUAAUCGCGAAUCAGAAUGUCGCGGUGAAUACGUUCCCGGGUCUUGUACGCACCGCCCGUCACACCAUGGGAGUCAGUAACGCCCGAAGUCAGUGACCCAACCGUAAGGAGGGAGCUGCCGAAGGUGGGACCGAUAACUGGGGUGAAGUCGUAACAAGGUA